GAUCUCCUACGGGAGGCAGCAGUGGGGAAUAUUGCACAAUGGGGGGAACCCUGAUGCAGCAAUGCCGCGUGAAGGAUGAAGGUUUUCGGAUUGUAAACUUCUUUUGUACGGGACGAAGAAAGUGACGGUACCGUAAGAAUAAGCCACGGCUAACUACGUGCCAGCAGCCGCGGUAAUACGUAGGUGGCAAGCGUUAUCCGGAUUCACUGGGCGUAAAGGGAGCGCAGGCGGCACGGCAAGUCCGGUGUGAAAGCCCGGGGCCCAACCCCGGGACUGCACUGGAAACUGCCGGGCUGGAGUGUCGG
RNAcentral lists this ribosomal RNA (305 nucleotides) under uncultured bacterium. RNAcentral describes it as "bacterial SSU rRNA". It matches the Rfam family "Bacterial small subunit ribosomal RNA", at positions 333 to 652 of the family's 1533-position model. The record is from RNAcentral.